UACGGGGGGGGCAAGCGUUGUUCGGAAUUACUGGGCGUAAAGCGCGUGUAGGCGGCUUGGCAAGUCGGAUGUGAAAGCCCACGGCUCAACCGUGGAAGCGCAUCCGAAACGGCCUCGCUCGAGUCUCGGAGAGGAAGGUGGAAUGCUUGGUGUAGAGGUGAAAUUCGUAGAUAUCAAGCAGAACACCUGCGGCGAAGGCGGCCUUCUGGACGAUGACUGACGCUGAGACGCGAAAGCGUGGGGAGCAAACAGG
Molecule: ribosomal RNA, 253 nt
Filed under: uncultured bacterium
Lineage: Bacteria
Description: partial 16S ribosomal RNA
Rfam family: Bacterial small subunit ribosomal RNA
Source: RNAcentral